AUCCAACUCACGAGUCCCAAAUAGGACGAAACGCGCGUCCCAGAU
Non-coding RNA from Schistosoma mansoni, 45 nucleotides. The record is from Rfam. NCBI's taxonomy places the organism in Eukaryota, Metazoa, Platyhelminthes, Trematoda, Strigeidida, Schistosomatidae.